Molecule: ribosomal RNA, 253 nt
Filed under: uncultured bacterium
Lineage: Bacteria
Description: partial 16S ribosomal RNA
Rfam family: Bacterial small subunit ribosomal RNA
Source: RNAcentral
UACAGAGGGUGCGAGCGUUACUCGGAAUUACUGGGCGUAAAGCGCACGUAGUCGGCUUUGCAAGUCGGUUGUGAAAUCCCCGGGCUCAACCUGGGAACUGCAUCCGAGACUGCAUUGCUAGAGUAUGGGAGAGGGAAGCGGAAUUUCUGGUGUAGCAGUGAAAUGCGUAGAUAUCAGAAGGAACAUCAGUGGCGAAGGCGGCUUCCUGGACCAAUACUGACGAUCAGGUGCGAAAGCGUGGGGAGCAAACAGG